AACGAACGCUGGCGGCAUGCCUAACACAUGCAAUUCGAACGAGACCUUCGGGUCUAGUGGCGCACGGGUGCGUAACGCGUGGGAACCUGCCCUUAGGUUCGGAAUAACUCCCCGAAAGGGGUUCUAAUACCGGAUAAUGUCUUCGGACCAAAGAUUUAUCGCCUUUGGAUGGGCCCGCGUUGGAUUAGCUAGUUGGUAGGGUAAAAGCCUACCAAGGCGACGAUCCAUAGCUGGUCUGAGAGGAUGAUCAGCCACACUGGGACUGAGACACGGCCCAGACUCCUACGGGAGGCAGCAGUGGGGAAUAUUGGACAAUGGGCGAAAGCCUGAUCCAGCAAUGCCGCGUGAGUGAUGAAGGCCUUAGGGUUGUAAAGCUCUUUUACCCGGGAUGAUAAUGACAGUACCGGGAGAAUAAGCUCCGGCUAACUCCGUG
Molecule: ribosomal RNA, 433 nt
Filed under: uncultured bacterium
Lineage: Bacteria
Description: partial 16S ribosomal RNA
Rfam family: Bacterial small subunit ribosomal RNA
Source: RNAcentral